Molecule: long non-coding RNA, 323 nt
Filed under: Coffea arabica (coffee)
Lineage: Eukaryota; Viridiplantae; Streptophyta; Magnoliopsida; Gentianales; Rubiaceae
Description: long non-coding RNA (CARA_LNC006270)
Source: RNAcentral
UGCCAUUUCCCAAUUUUCAGCAAUGCAACAACAACAAUACGAGGCAGCCAGCAGAAAUGAGAGAAAACUAAACAAUGAAGCAUUGAUUUAACGUGCUAGACAAAAACUAAAAAAAAUACCUCAAUGUAGGUGUGUGUGAGGUUGAGAUGGAACCGAGAGGAGUUGGGGAAGAUUUUUUUUUCUGUUCUGUUUGUUUCCUCCGCCCAAGUCCGAGAGAGGGAGAGUGAGGGGUCAGGCUGCAAAAUUCCGAGAGUUUCCCUUCCUCCUCUCUCGUGCGUUUCUUUUUUUCUGCCUCUGCCAAGUGAGUCCAGAGGGAUUGGAGU